RNAcentral lists this transfer RNA (73 nucleotides) under Sphaerodactylus townsendi. RNAcentral's name for it is "tRNA-Ala". It matches the Rfam family "tRNA". Rfam says of the family: Transfer RNA (tRNA) molecules are approximately 80 nucleotides in length. Their secondary structure includes four short double-helical elements and three loops (D, anti-codon, and T loops). The record is from RNAcentral. Lineage: Eukaryota; Metazoa; Chordata; Lepidosauria; Squamata; Sphaerodactylidae.
AGUGACUGUGGCUCAGUGAAAGAGCCUCUGCUUUGCAUGCAGAAGGUCCCAGGUUCAAUCCCUGGCAUCACCA